Molecule: long non-coding RNA, 1165 nt
Organism: Cyprinus carpio carpio
Lineage: Eukaryota; Metazoa; Chordata; Actinopteri; Cypriniformes; Cyprinidae
Source: Ensembl
AAUAAUGUCAAAAUAUUGAUAGUGAGACCUGAAAGUUUAAUGCAUCUUAUAGCAAAAGGCUAAUCAUUUAACUCUGAAGUAAUCUUGAAUAACAUCAGGUCUCCAGUAUGUGUAGUGUGCAUAUGGCUACUGGAUAAACCAUUUAUAUAGGCAUUACAUAUCAAAUGAAUUGAACUGAAAGAGUUAAUGAAAGAUAGGUGCUUAAUAAAAGGAAAGGCGGUGUCCCACUUCCUGUCGAUCUGCUCUGUUUCAUGCAGAGACCACCAGCUAUAUAAGUGAUCAUAUAAUCUAGCACGCUUGAAGCUCUGUUUGCAUCUGUUGGGACUGUACACUUCUCACAAUAUGCAUCUUCAGACCUUGCUGUCAUUCGUGGUCAUCUUGACUCUCACACUCCACGCCUGUCUGAGUGAACCAGACAUGCUGCACCCACCUCGACCCUGCACUGAAGCAGAAAACGAGAAUGGUUACAACACUUUUCUUAAACGGCAUGUACGCAAUGACAUACCAACCGAUCUGAACAAAGAAAACUGGAAAAAGUUUAUUAACAGAAUCAGAACCUGGAACAGAACGAUUCAGUCAUUCUUUCCCUUCAGUGAGAAAGACAACGUGGAAGCUGUGUGUUCAUCAGGAGGAAAGAUGUUUGAGAGCAACCUCUGCAUCAGCAAGAAGCCUUUUUCCUUCAUCACUAUUAAGAUUGACAGUAAGAAGAAAAUAAUCAAAAGUGUCAACCUUCAAAAGCAGCAUGUGAUUCUUGCCUGUGAUAAAUUUGGCAACAAAUGUCUCCCUGAUCAUUUUGAGGCAAAUACAAAAAAAUGUAAACCAAAUAACAACAAACUAGACUGCAGUAAAUGAAUGAAUGUUUCACAGAAUUAAUCACAGUUUUUUUUUUUUUUGUUAUGAGGAAGUGUUUCCCUGGCUGUAAUGUAACAGUAGAUAAAUGACCUGCAGAAGUUUUAUAUAUUCAUGUUUUUUUUUUCUUAUUCUGUGGGCUGAUGAAAUUGCUGAUGUUGAAAAUAUAAAUAAAUGUCAUAUAUAUGAAACAACUUUCUCGCUAUUAUGUUUCAGAAACGUCGCUAGUGUCAGGAGAGAGAAGCAAGCACGUCUUACACAUCUAAACUGAUGCUCCACAAAGAUUUUGGAUUUAUUUUCAAUACACAGAUUUUAC